Ictalurus furcatus (blue catfish) is the source of this 1977-nucleotide long non-coding RNA. RefSeq lists it as uncharacterized. NCBI's taxonomy places the organism in Eukaryota, Metazoa, Chordata, Actinopteri, Siluriformes, Ictaluridae. The record is from RefSeq and is a predicted model, not a curated record. The transcript has 3 exons.
GAGGUGAAGGGGCGGAGCUCUCUCUCAGUUCUCUGUAAUGAAUGUGAAAGUGAAAGUAGCCAUUACACUUCUUGCUGUAACAGACUAAAACAGGAGGAAUAUAUUUGUGCGUGUAGACAGGGGGAAGAUUUUACACAUGGUGUUUAAACUGUAAUGAGGUCAAAAUACUGAAUAUGAGCCGCUCUGAAAUGUGGACACACUUCAGCUAAAGCAGCAGAUUUGUUUAUAUCUGAGGAACAGAAAAGGAUUUUAUUAGUUUGAACCUACAGAAAGAGAUAAAGAUGGCGGCUGCACGCAAUGAGUUUAGACUCAUUCAUCCCAGUGGUACAGAGUGGUAUAAUUCCUCUGCUGUCACUCUCUCGUGUCGUCUGUACCCUGAAAUCAGUGCUGUUAACAUGGAGAUCCGGUGGUUUAAGGGGACACGCUGUGUUUGUGUCUAUAAGAACGGACAUGUGACAGAGGGGAGAGGUUACGAGGGCACAGUGAGUCUGUUCACUCAGGAGAUGGUGAGAGGAAACGUCUCCUUACAGCUGAGAGACUGUAGAGAGUCAGAUUUCGGAUAUUACCUGUGUCAGGUCACUGAUGGAGACAGAACAGAGGAGAUUACAGUACAGAUGAUGUGUAAGUGUUCCUGAUCUCCACACUGCAUAAACUCAACAUCAUAAUCUGUGCUUCUCAUCUCAGUACAUGAAACACACACUCAGUAUUCAGUAUGAGGUUCAGUAUACACGGUGCUAAUGUGGAGUGAAGUUCAUUUUAGUUGAAUAAACAGUACGUCUGUUUUCACUCUGCUACACACCUGCACAAGGGCCUAAACGCAGCAGCUUGUACAAAUAUGAAUUAAAUCGUGAUUCAUCAUUUCAGUAAGUUUGUUUAUCUACUAAUCAGAGAUGGGCUCGAUAUCAGUUUAAACUGAAACAAUCAGAGACAUUUCUCCAUCAGAGAGGAAAUUAUCUGUUGUUAUGUUUUAUAAAAACAUUAAAAUUGUAGCUGAACAUCUUUGUACUGAAAGCACAGAGUGAAGAUUGUUUAGCAGCGAUUCUGACUGUAAAUCAUAAGUUUUUCUCUCUGUAUUUUAUCUAACAUUACGUUUCUCUCUGUUGUUUUACACGACACCUUCAGUACUGGUAAGUAAAUAACUCGACUUCACACUAACGGUAGCGGCUGAUGUUUUAUCAACUUAUAUAUUAGCACAAUGCUACAUUCUACAGAUUUACUGUGUGUGAUGACUGAUUGUUGUCUAGUUUUCCUCUUUUUUAUUAAGACACACAUCAGCUGUGUUUUAACCAGAGUAACAGUUACUUUCACAUUUUCACAUGGAACAAUUCACAUUUGACUUCAUGCAUAAAAUCUUCACACUGUAUUAUUUACUUUCACAGGAGGCAGAAUUAGGUGAGUAUAAACACUUUUCUGUGAUGGUGAUGUGUUGAUGCUGCAUGAAUAAUAUAUUUAUUGUGCAGAUGAAAUAGAUUAGACUGUGCUGUGUGUUCAGAGUGCAAUAGCACAUAGAUAUAUGAGCAUCAUGAGCAUAGUGUAGUGAACACCACAGACUGUGAUCGCUGCAGAACGUCCAUCACGCUGGAGUCUAGUUUGUCAUUAGUGUUAUACAGACACAGAAAUCUGACCUACACACUGAUACUGAGAGCUAAAAAGCUGAAGGUGUCUUUACAAAAGACACACACACUCAUUAGUGACCAAUCUGAUGUAAUGGAGCUAAUAAUCAGAGACGGGCUCGAUAUCAGUUUAAACUGAAACAAUCAGAGACAUUUCUCCAUCAGAGAGGAAAUUAAACUACACACUAAAUGUGUCCUUUAGAUUGUUACAGUUACUGGACAUCCAGUAGAACAGACUAGAUCAUUUAUCUCAUUUAUACAACUGAGCAAUUCAGGGUUAAGGGCCUUGCUCAAGGGCCCAACAGUAGUAGCUUGGUAAUGCUCGGGCUUGAACUCCUGAGCUUCUGAUCAAUAACUCAGAGCC